Molecule: non-coding RNA, 50 nt
Filed under: Thiomonas delicata
Lineage: Bacteria; Pseudomonadati; Pseudomonadota; Betaproteobacteria; Burkholderiales
Description: Guanidine-II sequence
Rfam family: Guanidine-II riboswitch aptamer (mini-ykkC)
About the family: Simpler in structure and has fewer highly conserved nucleotide positions than the ykkC-yxkD leader.
Source: Rfam by way of RNAcentral
CCGCCGGGACGGCCUGGACGGGACAACCCAGAUCCUGCGGGACGACCCGC